AACACUGUUAACCUGCGGUACCUGCGGAAGGAUCAUUACAGAGUUGCAAAACUCCCUAAACCAUUGUGAACGUUACCUAAACCGUUGCUUCGGCGGGCGGCCCGGGUCCUUCCCGGCGCCCAUCGGCCCUCGCGGGCGCCCGCCGGAGGUAAACCAAACUAUUGCAUUGUAUGGCCUCUCUGAGUCUUCUGUACUGGAUAAGUCAAAACUUUCAACAAUGGAUCUCAGAUCGGAAGAGCA
RNAcentral lists this unclassified non-coding RNA (240 nucleotides) under soil metagenome. RNAcentral's name for it is "partial contains 5.8S ribosomal RNA, internal transcribed spacer 2, and large subunit ribosomal RNA". The record is from RNAcentral.